RNAcentral lists this ribosomal RNA (297 nucleotides) under uncultured bacterium. Its description in RNAcentral is "partial 16S ribosomal RNA". It matches the Rfam family "Bacterial small subunit ribosomal RNA", at positions 775 to 1067 of the family's 1533-position model. The record is from RNAcentral.
GGAUUAGAUACCCUGGUAGUCCACGCCGUAAACGAUGAGUGCUAGACGUUGGAAAUUAAUUUUUCAGUGUCGUAGUUAACGCAUUAAGCACUCCGCCUGGGGAGUACGGUCGCAAGAUUAAAACUCAAAGGAAUUGACGGGGGCCCGCACAAGCGGUGGAGCAUGUGGUUUAAUUCGACGCAACGCGAAGAACCUUACCAGCUCUUGACAUUGCUAAGUCGCGAGUUUUAGAGAUAAAACUCUUCAGUUCGGCUGGACUUAGUACAGGUGCUGCAUGGCUGUCGUCAGCUCGUGCCG